AUCACUCUAAGCGGUGGAUCACUCGGCUCAUGGGUCGAUGAAGAACGCAGCAAACUGUGCGUCAUCGUGUGAACUGCAGGACACAUGAACAUCGACAUUUUGAACGCAUAUCGCAGUCCAUGCUGUUUUGUACUUUAAUUAAUUUUAUAGUGCUGCUUGGACUACAUAUGGUUGAGGGUUGUAGACUUUGCUAAUUAAGUUGUUUAAAAUUUUUCGAAGUUUUAAGCAUAUGCAUAAAUUAUUCAUAAUAUUAAUAUAUAUAUGGAUGUACUACUCAUUGUAUAUUUUGUAUGAGAAAACUGAAGAGUUAUAUUUUCUUUUUCCAAAUCAAAUAAUACUGAGGAAUGUCUAGCAUAAAAGAAAAAUAUAUUUUUCCUUCAUCUAGAAUUGCCUCUUAUUAAUGAUGUGUGAUAAAAGAAUUGUUGUAAAAUUUAUGGAACUUCAGAACAAAAGUAUUAUCCAUUAUAUUGAAUAAUAAAUAAUGUUCAAUUAACAUUGUUUUAUACAACCUCAACUCAUAUGGGACUACCCCCUGAAUUUAAGCAUAUUAAUUAGGGGAGGAAAAGAAACUAACAAGGAUUUUCUUAGUAGCGGCGAGCGAAAAGAAAUCAGUUCAGCACUAAGUCACUUUGUCUAUAUGGCAAAUGUGAGAUGCAGUGUACGGAACAUCAACAUUCUAGUAUGAGAAGUUAACGAUUUAAGUCCUUCUUAAAUGAGGCUUUUUAUCCAUAGAGGGUGCCAGGCCCGUAUAACGUUAAUGAUUACUAGAUGGUUUUCAAAGAGUCGUGUUGCUUGAUAGUGCAGCACUAAGUGGGUGGUAAACUCCAUCUAAAACUAAAUAUAACCAUGAGACCGAUAGUAAACAAGUACCGUGAGGGAAAGUUGAAAAGAACUCUGAAUAGAGAGUUAAAUAGUACGUGAAACUGCUUAGAGGUUAAGCCCGAUGAACCUGAAUAUCCGGUAUGGAAAAUUCAUCAUUAGAAUUGUAAUAUUUUAAACAAUAUUAUAAUAAUAGUGUGCAUUUUUUCCAUAUAAGGACAUUGUAAUCUAUUAGCAUAAAUAUUUAUCAUAAAAUUAUGUCUGAUUGCUUAUUUGAAUUAUAUGCUUGGCAUUUUAACAUAAAAUAAAAGAUAUAAAUUUGAUAAAGUGCUGAUAGAUUUAUAUGAUUACAGUGCGUUAAUUUUUCGGAAUUAUAUAAUGGCAUAAUUAUCAUUGAUACUUGUGUUUAUUAUAUGCAUUUGUAUGAUUAACAAUGCGAAAGAUUCAGAAUACCUUCGGGACCCGUCUUGAAACACGGACCAAGGAGUCUAACAUAUGUGCAAGUUAUUGGGAUAUAAACCUAAUAGCGUAAUUAACUUAACUAUUAAUGGGAUUAGUUUUUUAACUAUUUAUAGUUCAUUAACGCAAUCCCGGGGCGCUCUUUAUAGUUAUGUAUAAUAAUAUUUAUUAUUUAUGCCUCUAACUGGAACGUACCUUGAGCAUAUAUGCUGUGACCCGAAAGAUGGUGAACUAUACUUGAUCAGGUUGAAGUCAGGGGAAACCCUGAUGGAAGACCGAAACAGUUCUGACGUGCAAAUCGAUUGUCAGAAUUGAGUAUAGGGGCGAAAGACCAACCGAACCAUCUAGUAGCUGGUUCCUUCCAAAGUUUCCCUCAGGAUAGCUGGUGCAUUUAACUGUUGUAUAAAAUAAUCUUAUCUGGUAAAGCGAAUGAUUAGAGGCCUUAGGGUCGAAACGAUCUUAACCUAUUCUCAAACUUUAAAUGGGUAAGAACCUUAACUUUCUUGAUAUGAAGUUUAAGGUUAUGAUAUAAUGUGCCCAGUGGGCCACUUUUGGUAAGCAGAACUGGCGCUGUGGGAUGAACCAAACGUAAUGUUACGGUGCCCAAAUUAACAACUCAUACAGAAACCAUGAAAGGCGUUGGUUGCUUAAAACAGCAGGACGGUGAUCAUGGAAGUCGAAAUCCGCUAAGGAGUGUGUAACAACUCACCUGCCGAAGCAACUAGCCCUUAAAAUGGAUGGCGCUUAAGUUGUAUACCUAUACAUUACCGCUAAAGUAGAUGGUUUAUAUUACUUGUAAUAUAAAUUUUGAAACUUUAGUGAGUAGGAAGGUACAAUGGUGUGCAUAGAAGUGUUUGGCGUAAGCCUGCAUGGAGCCGCUAUUGGUACAGAUCUUGGUGGUAGUAGCAAAUAAUCGAAUGAGACCUUGGAGGACUGAAGUGGAGAAGGGUUUCGUGUGAACAGUGGUUGAUCACGAGUCAGUCGGUCCUAAGUUCAAGGCGAAAGCCGAAAAUUUUCAAGUGAAGAAAAAUCUAAAUAUAUUUGUCAUCUAACCGAUUUUUAUAUACUUGAAUAAUUUUGAACGAAAGGGAAUACGGUUCCAAUUCCGUAACCUGUUGAGUAUCCGUUUGUUAUUAAAUAUGGGCCUCGUGCUCAUCCUGGCAACAGGAACGACCAUAAAGAAGCCGUCGAGAGGUAUCGGAAGAGUUUUCUUUUCUGUUUUAUAGCCGUACUACCAUGGAAGUCUUUCGCAGAGAGAUAUGGUAGAUGUGCUAGAAGAGCAUGACAUAUACUGUUGUGUCGAUAUUUUCCCUCGGACCUUGAAAAUUUAUGGUGGGGACACGCAAACUUCUCAACAGGCCGUACCAAUAUCCGCAGCUGGUCUCCAAGGUGAAAGGUCUCUAGUCGAUAGAAUAAUGUAGGUGCUUCGCA
RNAcentral lists this ribosomal RNA (2709 nucleotides) under Drosophila virilis. Its description in RNAcentral is "eukaryotic LSU rRNA". The stretch from base 506 to 2709 matches the Rfam family "Eukaryotic large subunit ribosomal RNA", at positions 1 to 1919 of the family's 3401-position model. Lineage: Eukaryota; Metazoa; Arthropoda; Insecta; Diptera; Drosophilidae. The record is from RNAcentral.